AUGUACCACGCGUACACUGUGGUUGCUCCGCGCCGUCCGCCCCCACCUCACGACCGCUCGCUACGUUUUAUUAGCC
RNAcentral lists this small RNA (76 nucleotides) under Xanthomonas codiaei. RNAcentral describes it as "sX9 sRNA". It matches the Rfam family "Xanthomonas sRNA sX9". Lineage: Bacteria; Pseudomonadati; Pseudomonadota; Gammaproteobacteria; Lysobacterales; Lysobacteraceae. The record is from RNAcentral.